Non-coding RNA from Phrynosoma platyrhinos (Desert horned lizard), 70 nucleotides. Lineage: Eukaryota; Metazoa; Chordata; Lepidosauria; Squamata; Phrynosomatidae. The record is from the annotation of a GenBank genome assembly.
GCCAGCAUGUUGUAGUGGUAUGAGUAUUGCUCCAACUCAGGAGACCAGGGUUCGAUUCCCAGCUCGGCCA